UCCAGCAUGGAUUCGGAAAGUUGCAGCGAGGACCAAGAAAAAUCAACUGAAAAUCCAACAAAAACGAGCAAACAUAUACGAAAAUUGUGCUACAUGCAUAUAGCAUCCGUGAAGCAUGAGCAGGUACAGGAUAUUAUAUUUACACGAUGGAAUAGUUAAGAGAAUCCAUCACAAAGUGGCUUCGAUUGCUUGGUGAGAGUCGAGUGUUAGCAGAAGUGUAUCAAUGUUACCGUGAUACAAAAUUUCGGAAUAUUCCCGAUGAUGCUGCCUUUCAUCCCACCUGCAACAGACGUUUUAUUGAUAAGAGACGCAUGGAGCAAGCUGGGAAACGUGUUGCACGUGAAGAGACGACGACAUCAGAAAACACAGGAACACGUGGAUGAAAGAAAAAACGGGUCUAGAUCAGGUCUGCCAUUUGCUACUGCUGGUCCUGUGCUUCCAGCCCUGUGCAUAAUCUGCAAAAAAGUUGAGAAGGACGUAAUCGUUCAUGGAAAACGCCAGAGGGCACAUUUGGUUCAGACUGAAACAUCUUCUGCUGGCCAGUUGCUGAAAGGUGCUGAGAUCAAGCAAGAUGAAAGCAUUCUGUUACACAUCAAAGACAAAGAUUGUGUCACUGGAGGUUCGGUACCACACAUGCUGCUAUAGAGUACACCACCUUCCUGUCUAGAUCCACAUCAACAACAGAUAAACUAAAUGAGCCCAGAUUUGAUGCUGGGUACAAGAUCUUCUGUGAGAGGACCAUUCGCCAGAGACUGAUUGUGAACCAGGAAGUGCUGUAAAUGAGCCAGCUGACAAGGUCCUUUUCAGAUCUGGUAAAACAACAUGAAGGUGUUGAUGCUUCAAACUACAGACAAGAGACACUGAAGAGGAGGUUGACCCAUGACUUCCCUCAGCUGAUGUUUCAAUUCCCUAGCAAGCGCAAGAUAUGUGAGCUGGUUUUUGUGGAGAUGCUGUCGACAGAAACGUUGAUAGACAGGUUAUAGACAGCAUUUACCAAUUUGGGUAGCAGCUUCAACAUCCACUUUUGCAAAACUCUGCAAAUAUGUACGCCAUCUGUAUGACCAACCAGCUGCUCAAAAUGUAAAUGAAAGCAUCAUGAACUUUAUUCAUCCCCUCUACAAAUGAUGCCCUGUAUCAAAACUCCAAAAGGGCAAACUACCAAGUAGCCAUUAUGAGGUCAGCUCUGAAAGUUAAAAAUAUGUUCCCCCUCACCUCAAUCUGACAGUUAUCUGGAUGACUAGUAAUCCUGCCCCUGAAAGUGUAAUGCAGGUAGUUAACUGUAGUUGCAGGAAAGGUACAUGUGAGACAGGAACUUGUUUCUAUAUAUCAGCAGGACUGUCUUGCAGAUUUAUGCUGGUGCAGAAAUUGUGCAAAUGUGUCCUUAGGCAGUGAUGAAAAAGCUGCAUCUGCCAUACAGCUAUGAGAGUGAAAGUGAUGAAUAAUACACUCACUGUUACUGUAAAUAUGUAAAAAUGUUUUGUGUGAAUUUGUAAGCAUUGUUUCUUUGGAUUUUGGGGAAGUCAGCACAGAAGACUGAAUGAUGCAGCAAACGUCAUGCAAUACCAUGUCUGUACAUUAUUAUUAGACCUGACUAGUGAAAGUGCUGUGAAGGCCUCUUGAUAUUAUUCUGUUUGUACAAAUACAUAUUAUACUGUCCAAACACGAUAAAUGCAUAGUAAGAUCAAUAAAAGUAUCCCAUAGCAUUG
Nothobranchius furzeri (turquoise killifish) is the source of this 1706-nucleotide long non-coding RNA. RefSeq lists it as uncharacterized. The record is from RefSeq and is a predicted model, not a curated record. NCBI's taxonomy places the organism in Eukaryota, Metazoa, Chordata, Actinopteri, Cyprinodontiformes, Nothobranchiidae.